GGGGUUGUGGCUCAGUGGUAGAGCAUAUACCUAGCAUGUGUGAGGCCCUGGGUUAGAUUCUCAACACCA
Molecule: transfer RNA, 69 nt
Filed under: Urocitellus parryii (Arctic ground squirrel)
Lineage: Eukaryota; Metazoa; Chordata; Mammalia; Rodentia; Sciuridae
Also listed under: 1 other name
Description: Spermophilus parryii (Arctic ground squirrel) tRNA
Rfam family: tRNA
About the family: Transfer RNA (tRNA) molecules are approximately 80 nucleotides in length. Their secondary structure includes four short double-helical elements and three loops (D, anti-codon, and T loops).
Source: Rfam by way of RNAcentral